CUAAGUUUGAUGGCGACCGGCGCACGGGUGAGUAACACGUAUCCAACCUGCCGAUGACUCGGGGAUAGCCUUUCGAAAGAAAGAUUAAUACCCGAUGGCAUAGUUCUUCCGCAUGGUGGAACUAUUAAAGAAUUUCGGUCAUCGAUGGGGAUGCGUUCCAUUAGGUUGUUGGCGGGGUAACGGCCCACCAAGCCUUCGAUGGAUAGGGGUUCUGAGAGGAAGGUCCCCCACAUUGGAACUGAGACACGGUCCAAACUCCUACGGGAGGCCAGCAUG
RNAcentral lists this ribosomal RNA (276 nucleotides) under uncultured bacterium. RNAcentral's name for it is "partial 16S ribosomal RNA". It matches the Rfam family "Bacterial small subunit ribosomal RNA", at positions 79 to 349 of the family's 1533-position model. The record is from RNAcentral.